Y RNA from Callithrix jacchus (white-tufted-ear marmoset), 102 nucleotides. It matches the Rfam family "Y RNA". From Rfam's summary of the family: Y RNAs are components of the Ro ribonucleoprotein particle (Ro RNP), in association with Ro60 and La proteins. The Y RNAs and Ro60 and La proteins are well conserved, but the function of the Ro RNP is not known. In humans the RNA component can be one of four small RNAs -- hY1, hY3, hY4 and hY5. The record is from Ensembl. Lineage: Eukaryota; Metazoa; Chordata; Mammalia; Primates; Cebidae.
GGCUGGUCCAAGUGCAGUGGUGUUUACAACUAAUUGAUCACAACCAGUCACAGAUUUCUUUGUUCCUUCUCCACUCCCACUGCUUCACUUGACUAGACUUUA